AUACGUAGGGUGCGAGCGUUGUCCGGUAUUACUGGGCGUAAAGAGCUCGUAGGUGGUUUGUCGCGUCGUCUGUGAAAUUCCGGGGCUUAACUCCGGGCGUGCAGGCGAUACGGGCAUAACUUGAGUACUGUAGGGGAGACUGGAAUUCCUGGUGUAGCGGUGAAAUGCGCAGAUAUCAGGAGGAACACCGGUGGCGAAGGCGGGUCUCUGGGCAGUAACUGACGCUGAGGAGCGAAAGCAUGGGUAGCGAACAGGAUUAGAUACCCUGGUAGUCCAUGCCGUAAACGGUGGGCGCUAGGUGUAGGGGUCUUCCACGACUUCUGUGCCGUAGCUAACGCAUUAAGCGCCCCGCCUGGGGAGUACGGCCGCAAGGCUAAAACUUAAAGGAAUCGACGGGG
RNAcentral lists this ribosomal RNA (398 nucleotides) under uncultured bacterium. RNAcentral describes it as "partial 16S ribosomal RNA". It matches the Rfam family "Bacterial small subunit ribosomal RNA", at positions 523 to 918 of the family's 1533-position model. The record is from RNAcentral.